This 465-nucleotide ribosomal RNA is filed under the name Vreelandella stevensii. RNAcentral describes it as "partial 16S ribosomal RNA". It matches the Rfam family "Bacterial small subunit ribosomal RNA", at positions 338 to 795 of the family's 1533-position model. The record is from RNAcentral. Lineage: Bacteria; Pseudomonadati; Pseudomonadota; Gammaproteobacteria; Oceanospirillales; Halomonadaceae.
CCUACGGGGGGCUGCAGUGGGGAAUAUUGGACAAUGGGGGGAAUCCUGAUCCAGCCAUGCCGCGUGUGUGAAGAAGGCCCUCGGGUUGUAAAGCACUUUCAGUGAGGAAGAACGCCUGGUGGUUAAUACCCAUCAGGAAAGACAUCACUCACAGAAGAAGCACCGGCUAACUCCGUGCCAGCAGCCGCGGUAAUACGGAGGGUGCGAUCGUUAAUCGGAAUUACUGGGCGUAAAGCGCGCGUAGGUGGCUUGAUAAGCCGGUUGUGAAAGCCCCGGGCUCAACCUGGGAACGGCAUCCGGAACUGUCAAGCUAGAGUGCAGGAGAGGAAGGUAGAAUUCCCGGUGUAGCGGUGAAAUGCGUAGAGAUCGGGAGGAAUACCAGUGGCGAAGGCGGCCUUCUGGACUGACACUGACACUGAGGUGCGAAAGCGUGGGUAGCAAACAGGAUUAGAUACCCUAGUAGUC